GGGUGUUGUGUGGUGCUUGAGGGCAAGCACCAGAUUAGUGUGGGGAGUUUGAUAGAGUGCAAAAACAACACCUUAUCACCUACAUUUGUGUGUUUAAAAUGAAUUAUUUACUUCUUGAUUAAGUUAGUUUAUUCAUUUUGAUGCAGGAUACGAGUGGGAACCUAAAGUCGAGAAGAACCACAGAAAACAAUAGUGGGAACCACAAAAUUACCAUCUAUCACGGUCUUGGCAUUGGGCAAGGCUAAGAC
Molecule: long non-coding RNA, 248 nt
Filed under: Carica papaya (papaya)
Lineage: Eukaryota; Viridiplantae; Streptophyta; Magnoliopsida; Brassicales; Caricaceae
Description: long non-coding RNA (CPAP_LNC012947)
Source: RNAcentral